RNAcentral lists this unclassified non-coding RNA (233 nucleotides) under soil metagenome. Its description in RNAcentral is "partial internal transcribed spacer 1". The record is from RNAcentral.
UUGAAUUUUAAUGAAGAGUUUGGUUGUAGCUGGCCCAUUCAUUUGGGCAUGUGCACACCUUCCUCUUUCAUCCCACACACACCUGUGAAACCUGUGAGACAGAGAUGGGGAAUUUACUUGCUGCUUUUUGGAAUACAAAGGCAAUAGGUUAUUGGACCCCCCCUCUGUCUACUCAAUUAAUAUAAACUCAAUUUAUUUUAAAACGAAUGUAAUGGAUGUAACACAUCUCAUAC